RNAcentral lists this ribosomal RNA (459 nucleotides) under Salmonella enterica. RNAcentral describes it as "bacterial SSU rRNA". It matches the Rfam family "Bacterial small subunit ribosomal RNA", at positions 1 to 456 of the family's 1533-position model. RNAcentral also lists the same sequence under 1 other name. Lineage: Bacteria; Pseudomonadati; Pseudomonadota; Gammaproteobacteria; Enterobacterales; Enterobacteriaceae. The record is from RNAcentral.
AAAUUGAAGAGUUUGAUCAUGGCUCAGAUUGAACGCUGGCGGCAGGCCUAACACAUGCAAGUCGAACGGUAACAGGAAGCAGCUUGCUGCUUUGCUGACGAGUGGCGGACGGGUGAGUAAUGUCUGGGAAACUGCCUGAUGGAGGGGGAUAACUACUGGAAACGGCGGCUAAUACCGCAUAACGUCGCAAGACCAAAGAGGGGGACCUUCGGGCCUCUUGCCAUCAGAUGUGCCCAGAUGGGAUUAGCUUGUUGGUGAGGUAACGGCUCACCAAGGCGACGAUCCCUAGCUGGUCUGAGAGGAUGACCAGCCACACUGGAACUGAGACACGGUCCAGACUCCUACGGGAGGCAGCAGUGGGGAAUAUUGCACAAUGGGCGCAAGCCUGAUGCAGCCAUGCCGCGUGUAUGAAGAAGGCCUUCGGGUUGUAAAGUACUUUCAGCGGGGAGGAAGGUGUUG